Molecule: unclassified non-coding RNA, 229 nt
Filed under: plant metagenome
Description: partial contains small subunit ribosomal RNA, internal transcribed spacer 1, and 5.8S ribosomal RNA
Source: RNAcentral
UCUCCGUAGGUGAACCUGCGGAGGGAUCAUUACAGAGUUCAUGCCCUACCGGGUAGAUCUCCCACCCUAUGUUAUUAUUACUUUGUUGCUUUGGCGGGCCGUUAGGCUCCGGCCCGACUACCGGCCCCGGCUGGUAUGCGCCCGCCAGAGGACCCAAAACCCUGAAUAUUAGUGUCGUCUGAGUACUACAUAAUAGUUAAAACUUUCAACAACGGAUCUCUUGGUUCCG